Molecule: long non-coding RNA, 2535 nt
Filed under: Selaginella moellendorffii
Lineage: Eukaryota; Viridiplantae; Streptophyta; Lycopodiopsida; Selaginellales; Selaginellaceae
Description: long non-coding RNA (SMOE_LNC001980)
Source: RNAcentral
GGUGGAGCUUCUUGGAAGUUUGCUGCGGGGUAGCUAAAUAGUCUCGAUUUGACGGACGAAGCCUGACAAAGGAGGAAGAAUGUUACCUGGUGUCGAGCUUGCGCGUCGAAGGCGGACGAGCAACUAUUCGUGCGUGAGCUCGGACAGAUCCAGUCGCUCGACUUCCAACAUAGUGGCGACGAGGGAGAAGCAGCAGCAGCGGCAGCAGCAGAAGAUUGGAGUCCCCCGCUCGUCCUCCGAGGUACAAAAUCUUGUUUUGAAAUCGUUCUCCUGACACUCUUCCAAAUCAUAGAUUGAAGAAGCAGCUGCUAACGCUCUAGCAACACUGCAAGCGCGCUAUCGUUUCCACCCAAGAGACGAGGCAUCCAGGACCGCAGCAAACGAAGCUCGGGAGAGGUUGGAAGCCAGGCUCCGAGCACCGGAGUUGAGGUAAGUUGUUUUUCUCUCGUUUCCUCUCACGAGCUCGAGCGAAUGCGCAGAAUAACUCGGCAUGGAUCCAACACGGUUCCUACUCCAACACCAACAAAAAAGAAAUUUGGCAGUGGCAAGCACCAAAUUCUCUCGCACAAGGAUGAGAGGCCGGAUUGCCCGAUUUGCCUGGAAGAAAUUGGGCGGACGAGCCUGCUACUGCCGUGUAGACACGGAUUCCACAAGGAAUGCAUAGAGCCGUGGAUCGAGCGAAGUAAUCACUGUCCUUGUUGCCGCGCGAGUGUUGUGUGAGAUAUUCGAGGAAGGAGAGAAAAAAUUUUUGGUAAAACGUCGUAGUUUAGGUUAUCCCACAUGCCUUGUUGGAGGAUGAAUAUAAAUUAAGUCCCAGGGCUAAUGUCUAAUGUAAGUGGCUGAUGGCGAGCAAUAUGCUGUAAAUCGGGUGGAAGAGUUUUCAACACCAAACCGUGUGAGGAAUAUUCUCAAGCAGAACCAGAUUAUUCUACUUUAAGAUAAAACAGUCGUUAAUGGUUUCAUGGUGUAGUUGGUCAUCACGUCAGUCUAACACACUGAAGGUCUCCAGUUCGAACCUGGAUGAAGCCAGCUGAACUUUUUCUUGAGUACGCGUGUUGCACACGUCAGCCGAUUAAUUUCAGCGGGUUUUGAUUUUAGGCAUCUCGUGGAGGAGUGAUUGGUUUCGAAGCGAUAAUGCGGAUUGAGCAUGGGCUUCUUUCAGUCGUAGAGCUCAGACAUAGAUGCACAUAUUCAAUUUAGGUUAAGUGUUUUCUUUGAGAGUUCAAAAAUUUUAUAACCCAAAAUUUUAAACUAAAGUAAAAAGUAGAUAAUCGAGUAUUUAAUUUAUAAACAUGGUGGAGUGGUACCUCCCACCAGGGUGCCUCUUUGCAUACAUUGUGAGGGAUAGAAGCGAGAGCAAGAUUUGAAUAGUAGAGUUAGAUCAAGCAAAGGCUAUUCAAAGUUGUAAUUGUUGUUGUAAUCAAAGUUCAAAGUUGUAAUCAUAUAGCAAUUUGUAAAUCUUACCAUCCCCAGAAACAAAUCAGCACGAUUAAGAGUUAUUUCAACUUUUUAAUUCAAUUUAUGAAUUUUAUUUUUGUGUUAUGUUGACAUUAUUUCUUGACAAUUAACAGUAUGAGAUUGCCCUAAUUUCAAACUUUUGAAUUUCGCGCUUUGUCUGAUCAAAGUUUCACGGAUGCCAAUGGCCAACAACGAGGGUCAUAUCAUCGCAAACUGGCCGUCCAAUGCCAUUGAUCAGAGAACGCAGCAGCCGGUGGUACGAUCGAUCUUUUACAAAUUGCUUGUUCAUAAAGAUCAAAACUCUUUCUGGAUUGUAGGGAAUGCCGAUGAUCGUUUUACGAGACGAAGAGAGCGAAGGCAAUGGCGUGGAUCCUUCGACCACAUCGGACGGAGACAAGUUUCACAGUUUUGGAGAUCCCAGAGGCGAUUGUUGCCGUGCAGCAACUGGACGGAGAAAAGGCAAGAUUUGUCACAGUCUUUCUCUCGAGACAUUAUUUCGAUCGCCCUCUUUCUCCCAUGUAAGGUUUUGGUUUCCCUCACAGCCUGUGUGUGUGGCUGCCAAUCCAAUCUUUUAACGGCCAGGUAUUACCCUUUGGGUGGAGCUUCUUGGAAGUUUGCCGCGGGUAGCUAAAUAGUUUCGAUUUGACGAACGGAGCCUGACAAAGGAGGAAGAAUGUUACCUGGUGUCGAGCUUGCGCGUCGAAGGCGGACGAGCAACUAUUCGUGCGUGAGCUCGGACAGAUCCAGUCGCUCGACUUCCAACUUAGUGGCGACGAGGGACAAGCAGCUGCAGAAGAUUGGCGUUCCCCGCUCGUCCUCCGAGGUACAAAAUGUUGUUUAGAAACCGUUCUCUUGACACUCUUCCCAAUCAUGGAAGCCAGGCUCCGAGCAUCGGAGUUGAGGUAAGUAGCCAUAGCUUGUUUUUCUCUCGUUUCCUCUCACAAGCUCGAUCGAAUGCGCAGAAUAAAUCGGCAUGGAUCCAACAUGGUUCCGACUCCAACACCACCCAAAAAGAAAUUUGGCUCCAAAUUCUCUCGCACAAGGAUGAGAGGCCGGAUUGCCCGAUUUGCCUGGAAG